Molecule: long non-coding RNA, 846 nt
Organism: Hibiscus syriacus
Lineage: Eukaryota; Viridiplantae; Streptophyta; Magnoliopsida; Malvales; Malvaceae
Exons: 3
Source: RefSeq, a predicted model, not a curated record
ACUACUCACCUUCAAAUUUAUUUCUAUUAAUGUCCUUGUAAUCUCCGACAUCCGAUCUCUAUUUUCGUUUUUUUUCCUUUCAUGAUUUGCGUUUCAUCGUCGCAGCUUUCUUUUUCAGAUGAUUAAUUUUGCAUUCUUAGAUUGCUGAUUCUGCAAACUACAUUUUGUUGAUUUUGUAAUUUGAGGCUUCACUAAGCGAGUCUCUCUGAUUAGUUUUCGUAUUUCAACAUUUUAUUCCCACUGAUCUGCUGAUAUCGCCUCAAAGUAUUCUGUACAAAAGCUGGAAAUUUGAACUAUUCCUGUUCGUGAGUGGAAGGUUAGUAGCAAUUGCAUGCCUUGAUUUGUUUCCACUUGAUCAUGGUGCUUUAAAUUUGACUGCUUGAUCUGCGCUUAAUUUGAAUGAGUAGUUAUAAUGCUGUGGUUUUGCACUUGAUUGAGAGGUUGAGAACAUAGUGACAAUUGCCUUGAUUUUCCACUUGGCCUAGUGGCAUGGUUCUUAUGUUGUAUGGCAUGGGAGCUUGGGGUUAAAUCCCUAGCAUACCUUUCUGCAUUCCUCAAUUAUCGAUUAUACCCAAAAAAAAUGGUGUUGCUUUAUACCGUUGAACAUAAAAUUCGAGUUGGUCAGUUCUGGCAACUUUGUUUCACACAUGCUCAGGUACAUUUUCACGUCUGCAUUUCUAACUUUGAGUUUUACGUUCAUAUCUUGAUCUCUAAUUGACCUGGCAUUUUAGAACUAGAACUGUUGGUAUUCUUUUUUACUUUCUUUUUUGACAGACCAAUAUUCAUUGCUUAGUUUUGAUAUACUUGAACUAUUAGGCUAUCAUAUUGUAUGCCAUGUAACAUAAA